This 471-nucleotide ribosomal RNA is filed under the name uncultured bacterium. RNAcentral describes it as "bacterial SSU rRNA". It matches the Rfam family "Bacterial small subunit ribosomal RNA", at positions 355 to 825 of the family's 1533-position model. The record is from RNAcentral.
UUUCGAAUCAUUCACAAUGGGCGAAAGCCUGAUGGUGCGACGCCGCGUGAGGGAUGAAGGCCUUCGGGUUGUAAACCUCUGUCACCGGGGAAGAAACGCUUCAAGUUAACAGCUUGAAGCCUGACUUAACCCGGAGAGGAAGCAGUGGCUAACUCUGUGCCAGCAGCCGCGGUAAUACAGAGACUGCAAGCGUUAUUCGGAUUCACUGGGCGUAAAGGGUGCGCAGGCGGCCGGGUGUGUCAGAUGUGAAAUCCCGAGGCUUAACCUCGGAACUGCGUCUGAAACUACUCGGCUAGAGUAUUGGAGAGGGUAACGGAAUUCACGGUGUAGCAGUGAAAUGCGUAGAUAUCGUGAGGAACACCAGAGGCGAAGGCGGUUACCUGGACAAUUACUGACGCUCAGGCACGAAAGCAUGGGGAGCAAAAGGGAUUAGAUACCCAAGUAGUCCCUGAGCGGGCUGGCAAGGCGCAU